RNAcentral lists this ribosomal RNA (266 nucleotides) under uncultured bacterium. Its description in RNAcentral is "partial 16S ribosomal RNA". It matches the Rfam family "Bacterial small subunit ribosomal RNA", at positions 88 to 354 of the family's 1533-position model. The record is from RNAcentral.
CAUUCGAGUGGCGGACGGGUGAGUAACGCGUGGGUAACCUGCCUUACACAGGGGGAUAACACCUGGAAACAGGUGCUAAUACCGCAUAAGCGCACAGGGCCGCAUGGCCCGGUGUGAAAAACUCCGGUGGUGUAAGAUGGACCCGCGUCUGAUUAGCUUGUUGGCGGGGUAGAGGCCCACCAAGGCGACGAUCGGUAGCCGGCCUGAGAGGGCGGACGGCCACAUUGGGACUGAGACACGGCCCAAACUCCUACGGAAGGCAGCAG